UGGGGAAUAUUGGACAAUGGGGCGAAAGCCUGAUCCAGCCAUGCCGCGUGUGUGAAGAAGGUCUUCGGAUUGUAAAGCACUUUAAGUUGGGAGGAAGGGCAGUAAGCUAAUACCUUGCUGUUUUGACGUUUACCGACAGAAUAAGCACCGGCUAACUCUGUGCCCG
This 166-nucleotide ribosomal RNA is filed under the name uncultured bacterium. RNAcentral describes it as "partial 16S rRNA". It matches the Rfam family "Bacterial small subunit ribosomal RNA", at positions 355 to 511 of the family's 1533-position model. The record is from RNAcentral.